This is a long non-coding RNA of Homarus americanus (American lobster), 204 nucleotides long. RefSeq lists it as uncharacterized. The record is from RefSeq and is a predicted model, not a curated record. The transcript has 2 exons. Lineage: Eukaryota; Metazoa; Arthropoda; Malacostraca; Decapoda; Nephropidae.
GUGACCUACCAUUACCUGGUUCCUCUCACCGUGACCUACCAUUACCUGGUUCCUCUCACCGUGACCUACCAUUACCUGGUUCCUCUCACCGUGACCUGGUAUGACCUGGUCGUUGGUUAUCCUCUUCAUCUAAAAUGGUGUUGUGAACGAGUGACUACGGGACGGGAACAGCCGAGGAGGAAGGGAGACGAGGAAGAAGAAGGA